UGAAUUGCUUUAUUAAUAAUAAUAACAGACUUUGAACAUAAACAUAUAAACAAUCUUUGAAAGCUUUAAAUAAACAUACAACUUUGUAAAACUUUGAAACAGAAGAAAAUAUAGACUUACAAGAGGAGUUACAAGGUUUCUCUCUCUCUCUUACUCACUCUUUUCACUCUAAUAUCUUCUGUGAGAAUUAGACUCAGGAAGAGCUUUC
RNAcentral lists this long non-coding RNA (208 nucleotides) under Ricinus communis (castor bean). Its description in RNAcentral is "long non-coding RNA (RCOM_LNC003095)". The record is from RNAcentral. Lineage: Eukaryota; Viridiplantae; Streptophyta; Magnoliopsida; Malpighiales; Euphorbiaceae.